GAUGAACGCUGGCGGCGUGCUUAACACAUGCAAGUCGAACGAAGCAUUUGCGACAGAUUUUUUCGGAAUGAAGUUGCUUAUGACUGAGUGGCGGACGGGUGAGUAACGCGUGGGUAACCUGCCUUGUACUGGGGGAUAGCAGCUGGAAACGGCUGGUAAUACCGCAUAGGCGCACAAUGUUGCAUGACAUGGUGUGAAAAACUCCGGUGGUAUAAGAUGGACCCGCGUCUGAUUAGCUAGUUGGUGAGAUAACAGCCCACCAAGGCGACGAUCAGUAGCCGACCUGAGAGGGUGACCGGCCACAUUGGGACUGAGACACGGCCCAGACUCCUACGGGAGGCAGCAGUGGGGAAUAUUGCACAAUGGAGGAAACUCUGAUGCAGCGACGCCGCGUGAGUGAAGAAGUAAUUCGUUAUGUAAAGCUCUAUCAGCAGGGAAGAUAGUGACGGUACCUGACGAAGAAGCUCCGGCUAAAUACGUG
This 481-nucleotide ribosomal RNA is filed under the name uncultured bacterium. RNAcentral describes it as "partial 16S ribosomal RNA". It matches the Rfam family "Bacterial small subunit ribosomal RNA", at positions 28 to 507 of the family's 1533-position model. The record is from RNAcentral.